CGGGAGGCAGCAGUGGGGAAUCUUAGACAAUGGGGGCAACCCUGAUCUAGCCAUGCCGCGUGAGUGAUGAAGGCCUUAGGGUCGUAAAGCUCUUUCGCCUGUGAUGAUAAUGACAGUAGCAGGUAAAGAAACCCCGGCUAACUCCGUGCCAGCAGCCGCGGUAAUACGGAGGGGGCGAGCGUUAUUCGGAAUUAUUGGGCGUAAAGGGCUCGCAGGCUGCUUGAACAGUUAGACGUGAAAUCCCCGGGCUUAACCUGGGAACUGCGUUUAAUACUAGCAAGCUAGAGAAAUAGAGAGGAAAGUGGAACUCCCAGUGUAGAGGUGAAAUUCGUAGAUAUUGGGAAGAACACCAGUGGCGAAAGCGACUUUCUGGCUAUUUUCUGACGCUGAGGAGCGAAAGCGUGGGGAGCAAACAGGAUUAGAUACCCUGGUAGUCCACGCCGUAAACGAUGUGUGCUAGAUGUUGGAGGGUUACCUUUCAGUGUCGCAGCUAACGCACUAAGCACACCGCCUGGGGAGUACGGCCGCAAGGCUGAAACUCAAAGGAAUUG
RNAcentral lists this ribosomal RNA (551 nucleotides) under uncultured bacterium. RNAcentral's name for it is "bacterial SSU rRNA". It matches the Rfam family "Bacterial small subunit ribosomal RNA", at positions 342 to 912 of the family's 1533-position model. The record is from RNAcentral.